GCAAGAUCCUGUUUCAAAACACACACACAAAAAAUGUAAAACAAAAUAAUAAAUAAGGUUAAAAUGUGUUACAUAGCGCUUUCUCUUCAACUCACAAAUUUCACCCCUAGGAAGUCGCUCUUAGUAGAAGCCACAGCGAAGGUCUAGCUUCGCCGGAAGGAAUCCAGUGAGAUCUCAGCGAAGGUGGCGCAAGCCGGCCGUUCAAGCGCGGGAGAGGGCCGAGCAGUGCCCUGCCGGGAAACAGGCUUCGCAGAAACGAUUUCAGCCUCGAAGGCAGCACACGGUGGAGUAAGUGGUAGCGCAAGGCCCAGCCCAGCGGAGAGCAGACAAUGACGGGGGCAGCCCCAGUCCCCCGCUCGGCCC
This 363-nucleotide long non-coding RNA is filed under the name Chinchilla lanigera (long-tailed chinchilla). Its description in RNAcentral is "lncRNA (ENSCLAG00000028076.1)". Lineage: Eukaryota; Metazoa; Chordata; Mammalia; Rodentia; Chinchillidae. The record is from RNAcentral.